GCUUAACACAUGCAAGUCGAGGGGCAGCAUGCUUUUAGCUUGCUAAGGCCGAUGGCGACCGGCGCACGGGUGAGUAACACGUAUCCAACCUGCCGUCUACUCUUGGACAGCCUUCUGAAAGGAAGAUUAAUACAAGAUGGCAUCAUGAGUCCGCAUGUUCACAUGAUUAAAGGUAUUCCGGUAGACGAUGGGGAUGCGUUCCAUUAGAUAGUAGGCGGGGUAACGGCCCACCUAGUCUUCGAUGGAUAGGGGUUCUGAGAGGAAGGUCCCCCACAUUGGAACUGAGACACGGUCCAAACUCCUACGGGAGGCAGCAGUGAGGAAUAUUGGUCAAUGGGCGAGAGCCUGAACCAGCCAAGUAGCGUGAAGGAUGACUGCCCUAUGGGUUGUAAACUUCUUUUAUAAAGGAAUAAAGUCGGGUAUGGAUACCCGUUUGCAUGUACUUUAUGAAUAAGGAUCGGCUAACUCCGUGCCAGCAGCCGCGGUAAUACGGAGGAUCCGAGCGUUAUCCGGAUUUAUUGGGUUUAAAGGGAGCGUAGAUGGAUGUUUAAGUCAGUUGUGAAAGUUUGCGGCUCAACCGUAAAAUUGCAGUUGAUACUGGAUAUCUUGAGUGCAGUUGAGGCAGGCGGAAUUCGUGGUGUAGCGGUGAAAUGCUUAGAUAUCACGAAGAACUCCGAUUGCGAAGGCAGCCUGCUAAGCUGCAACUGACAUUGAGGCUCGAAAGUGUGGGUAUCAAACAGGAUUAGAUACCCUGGUAGUCCACACGGUAAACGAUGAAUACUCGCUGUUUGCGAUAUACGGCAAGCGGCCAAGCGAAAGCGUUAAGUAUUCCACCUGGGGAGUACGCCGGCAACGGUGAAACUCAAAGGAAUUGACGGGGGCCCGCACAAGCGGAGGAACAUGUGGUUUAAUUCGAUGAUACGCGAGGAACCUUACCCGGGCUUAAAUUGCAGAUGAAUUACGGUGAAAGCCGUAAGCCGCAAGGCAUCUGUGAAGGUGCUGCAUGGUUGUCGUCAGCUUGUGCCGUGAGGUGUCGGCUUAAGUGCCAUAACGAGCGCAACCCUUGUUGUCAGUUACUAACAGGUUCUGCUGAGGACUCUGACAAGACUGCCAUCGUAAGAUGUGAGGAAGGUGGGGAUGACGUCAAAUCAGCACGGCCCUUACGUCCGGGGCUACACACGUGUUACAAUGGGGGGUACAGAGGGCCGCUACCACGCGAGUGGAUGCCAAUCCCAAAAACCUCUCUCAGUUCGGACUGGAGUCUGCAACCCGACUCCACGAAGCUGGAUUCGCUAGUAAUCGCGCAUCAGCCACGGCGCGGUGAAUACGUUCCCGGGCCUUGUACACACCGCCCGUCAAGCCAUGGGAGCCGGGGGUACCUGAAGUGCGUAACAACGAGGAGCGCCCUAGGGUAAAACUGGUGACU
This 1426-nucleotide ribosomal RNA is filed under the name uncultured organism. RNAcentral's name for it is "16S ribosomal RNA". It matches the Rfam family "Bacterial small subunit ribosomal RNA". The record is from RNAcentral.